UACGGGGGGGGCAAGCGUUGUUCGGAAUUACUGGUCGUAAAGCGAGUGUAGGCGGUCUUCUAAGUCGGAUGUGAAAGCCCCGGGCUCAACCUGGGAAUGGCAUUUGAAACUGGCGGGCUGGAGUGUGGCAGAGGGGGGUGGAAUUCCACGUGUAGCAGUGAAAUGCGUAGAGAUGUGGAGGAACACCGAUGGCGAAGGCAGCCCCCUGGGCCAACACUGACGCUCAGGCACGAAAGCGUGGGGAGCAAACAGG
This 253-nucleotide ribosomal RNA is filed under the name uncultured bacterium. RNAcentral's name for it is "partial 16S ribosomal RNA". It matches the Rfam family "Bacterial small subunit ribosomal RNA", at positions 524 to 776 of the family's 1533-position model. The record is from RNAcentral.